Long non-coding RNA from Microtus oregoni (creeping vole), 782 nucleotides. RefSeq lists it as uncharacterized. The transcript has 3 exons. Lineage: Eukaryota; Metazoa; Chordata; Mammalia; Rodentia; Cricetidae. The record is from RefSeq and is a predicted model, not a curated record.
CUCCGGCCCACUCCACGGGAACGUGGCAGCGGCUCUUGAGAGGUGGCACUCCGAGGACCGGUCACUGGAUCGCUGUCCUAGCUCGCCAUGCGGGCGCACGCGGGAGUUUGGGAGCGUCUGGACCGCUGGUCUGUAGAAGAGCCAUUCCGAGCCGCCGCAGCUGCAGCAGCUGCUGACUCCCCCACCCCACCCCACUCCCGGAAUUGAAGAACCAGAACUCUGCUUUCUGCUGAUUUGUGCGCCGCAGUCACACUCCUCUGCGUGGUCCCUUGUCAUUGCCUCGGAUGGUCCUGGUGGCAGGAGCUUCUGAGGUGGCGGCUUUCACAUACAAAGUGGCAGUGACUACAGUGCCUAGCUUGCUAGCCCUGCAGUACACAGUCAAGACUGCUUGCGUGUUUCUGGCAUGCUUGCUGUUUCUGGCCCAGAUGCAGGAGGGCACUGCAUUCCUGAGCCAAGGUGAGCCAGCUGCUAGGGCCUGGAAGGUCAUACAGGACCCCAUCAGAAUUAAGGUGGCCAGUAACUCUGUACUCCAGGACCCUUGUGGUCCUCACUAGUGAGUGCCUUUGGGCUGUAGACUCUUCCUUUUAUGAAGACAGCAUUACCCCCUAGGGCUAUGGGGCAGAAGAUAUACCCUGACCAGCAUGCUGCCUGAACUUAACCCCAACUGGGCCUCCCACAAGGGUUGUAAGCCUGCCAAGAAUUACAGGACCCAGCCAAGUGAGCCUGGCUCUGCUGUGGGCUUGUCUUUGGAAGGAAGGCUGAAUAAACUGUCGACUGGAAGC